Molecule: ribosomal RNA, 555 nt
Filed under: Iniistius aneitensis (yellowblotch razorfish)
Lineage: Eukaryota; Metazoa; Chordata; Actinopteri; Labriformes; Labridae
Description: partial 16S ribosomal RNA
Rfam family: Bacterial large subunit ribosomal RNA
Source: RNAcentral
AAUAAGAGGUCACGCCUGCCCAGUGACAACAUUGUUCAACGGCCGCGGUAUUCUGACCGUGCAAAGGUAGCGCAAUCACUUGUCUUUUAAUUGAGGACCCGUAUGAAUGGCAUAACGAGGGCUUAACUGUCUCCUUUUUCUAGUCAAUGAAAUUGAUCUCCCCGUGCAGAAGCGGGGAUACCCCCAUAAGACGAGAAGACCCUAUGGAGCUUUAGACGCAAGAGCAGAAUAUGUUAAACAUCUUCCCAUAAGAAGAGAAACAAAAUAUCUCCUGUUCCUAUGUCUUUGGUUGGGGCGACCUCGGGGAGAAAACAAACCCCCAAGUGGAAUAGAGGCACUGCCUCCUAAGCCAAGAGCUCCUGCUCGAACAAAUAGAAACUCUAACCUUACAGAUCCGGCAAUGCCGAUCAACGGACCGAGUUACCCUAGGGAUAACAGCGCAAUCUCCUUAUAGAGCCCGUAUCGACAAGGGGGUUUACGACCUCGAUGUUGGAUCAGGACAUCCUAAUGGUGCAGCCGCUAUUAAGGGUUCGUUUGUUCAACGAUUAAAGUCCU